AGGAUAACCCUGCUGCGGAGGAUACCCUUGCUGCUGAGGAUACCCCUGAGGAGGAUAUCCCUGUACUGGGUAUCCUUGUGGUGGGUAUGCAUCUUUCGGGUACCCUAUAUAUUUAUUACAAACACAAUUACAAAUUCAGAUUAGCAAAAACCAUUUAUUUAAACCCAUCGGAGCAGAGGUAUAAAACAAACAUUGAUCGAAGUUUUUACCUUGAGGAGGAGGGACUCCGACAGGUGGCUGUGGCUGCUGGUUGUUGUAAUAACUCAUCUUCUCCUUUAUCUUCUUCUAACUUUGGGUGCAGAAUAGAAAAAAAGGAGGUGACCUUGAAAGCAGAUUUAUAGACAAGGAAGGGUAAAGACGCGUGACAGAGUAAAGGCGGUUUAAGAAUCAAGAGGAAGGAAGCAACCAGGAAGGAGGGUGUAGUUAUAGAGUUCUCGAAACAGUUGGGGUUCUCUACUGCCAGCCUUUUGGUUUUGUGGGCAGAAGGGAAAGGAGGAAUCUUUUUCCCGUCUUUACAGCCAAACUCGACGG
This 531-nucleotide long non-coding RNA is filed under the name Linum usitatissimum (flax). RNAcentral's name for it is "long non-coding RNA (LUSI_LNC005298)". Lineage: Eukaryota; Viridiplantae; Streptophyta; Magnoliopsida; Malpighiales; Linaceae. The record is from RNAcentral.